AGCAGUCGCCGCGGUAAUACAGAGGGUGCGAGCGUUAAUCGGAUUUACUGGGCGUAAAGCGUGCGUAGGCGGCUUCUUAAGUCGGAUGUGAAAUCCCUGAGCUUAACUUAGGAAUUACAUUCGAUACUGGGAAGCUAGAGUAUGGGAGAGGAUGGUAGAAUUCCAGGUGUAGCGGUGAAAUGCGUAGAGAUCUGGAGGAAUACCGAUGGCGAAGGCAGCCAUCUGGCCUAAUACUGACGCUGAGGUACGAAAGCAUGGGGAUCAAACAGGAUUAGAUACCCCGGUAGUCCCUGUCUCUUAUAC
RNAcentral lists this ribosomal RNA (303 nucleotides) under uncultured bacterium. RNAcentral describes it as "partial 16S ribosomal RNA". It matches the Rfam family "Bacterial small subunit ribosomal RNA", at positions 507 to 807 of the family's 1533-position model. The record is from RNAcentral.